Molecule: ribosomal RNA, 274 nt
Filed under: uncultured bacterium
Lineage: Bacteria
Description: partial 16S ribosomal RNA
Rfam family: Bacterial small subunit ribosomal RNA
Source: RNAcentral
AUACGGAGGGCGCAAGCGUUGUUCGGAAUUACUGGGCGUAAAGCGCGUGUAGGCGGCUUGGCAAGUCGGUUGUGAAAUCCCGGGGCUCAACCCCGGAACUGCAUCCGAAACUGUCUCGCUAGAGUCCCGGAGAGGAAGGCAGAAUUCCCAGUGUAGGGGUGAAAUCCGUAGAUAUUGGGAGGAAUACCAGUGGCGAAGGCGGCCUUCUGGACGGUGACUGACGCUCAGACGCGAAAGCGUGGGGAGCAAACAGGAUUAGAAACCCUAGUAGUCC